CAUACCUAUUCGAAGGGAUAGGGUCGGCUCGGCCGGAUUUUACACAAGUGUUGCAUGGCUGUCGUCAGCUCGUGUCGUGAGAUGUUGGGUUAAGUCCCGCAACGAGCGCAACCCUCAUCCUUAGUUGCCAUCAGGUAAUGCUGAGUACUUUAAGGAAACUGCCAGUGAUAAGCUGGAGGAAGGUGGGGUUGAUGUCAAGUCAUCAUGGCCUUUAUGGAGUGGGCUACACACGUGCUACAAUGGUGUCUACAAUGGGUUGCAAGGUGCGCAAGCCUAAGCUAAUCCCUAAAAGACAUCUCAGUUCGGAUUGUACUCUGCAACUCGAGUACAUGAAGUUGGAAUCGCUAGUAAUCGUGGAUCAGCAUGCCACGGUGAAUACGUUCUCGGGUCUUGUACACACUGCCCGUCACGCUAUGGGAAUUGGUUUCACUCGAAGCU
RNAcentral lists this ribosomal RNA (438 nucleotides) under Wolbachia endosymbiont of Aphis gossypii. RNAcentral's name for it is "bacterial SSU rRNA". It matches the Rfam family "Bacterial small subunit ribosomal RNA", at positions 992 to 1428 of the family's 1533-position model. The record is from RNAcentral. Lineage: Bacteria; Pseudomonadati; Pseudomonadota; Alphaproteobacteria; Rickettsiales; Anaplasmataceae.